RNAcentral lists this ribosomal RNA (508 nucleotides) under uncultured bacterium. RNAcentral describes it as "partial 16S ribosomal RNA". It matches the Rfam family "Bacterial small subunit ribosomal RNA", at positions 28 to 507 of the family's 1533-position model. The record is from RNAcentral.
GACGAACGCUGGCGGCGUGCUUAACACAUGCAAGUCGAACGGGCCUUGUCCCCUUUUUUUUUGGGGGUGGGGUUAGUGGCGAACGGGUGAGUAACACGUGAGUAACCUGCCCCUCACUUCUGGAUAACCGCUUGAAAGGGUGGCUAAUACGGGGUGUUCUGGCCUGCUCGCAUGGGUGGGUUUGAAAAGAUUCGACCGGUUUUGGUUGUUUUGGUGGGGGAUGGGCUCGCGGCCUAUCAGCUUGUUGGUGGGGUGAUGGCCUGCCAAGGCUUUGACGGGUAGCCGGCCUGAGAGGGUGGGCGGUCACACUGGGACUGAGACACGGCCCAGACUCCUACGGGAGGCAGCAGUGGGGAAUAUUGCACAAUGGGCGCAAGCCUGAUGCAGCGACGCCGCGUGAGGGAUGGAGGCCUUCGGGUUGUGAACCUCUUUCGCCAGUGAAGAAGGUCCUGCUCUUUGUGGUGGGGUUGACGGUAGCUGGGUUAAUGAAGCGCCGGCUAACUACGUG